This 447-nucleotide ribosomal RNA is filed under the name uncultured bacterium. Its description in RNAcentral is "bacterial SSU rRNA". It matches the Rfam family "Bacterial small subunit ribosomal RNA", at positions 355 to 825 of the family's 1533-position model. The record is from RNAcentral.
UCGGGAAUUUUGUGCAAUGGGCGAAAGCCUGACACAGCAACGCCGCGUGAAGGAUGAAGUCCCUCGGGAUGUAAACUUCGUAAGAAUAGGAAGAAUAAAUGACGGUACUAUUUAUAAGGUCCGGCUAACUACGUGCCAGCAGCCGCGGUAAUACGUAGGGACCAAGCGUUGUUCGGAUUUACUGGGCGUAAAGGGCGCGUAGGCGGCAAUUCAAGUCAUCUGUGAAAUCUCCGGGCUUAACUCGGAACGGUCAGAUGAUACUGCUUUGCUAGAGUGCAGAAGGGGCAAUCGGAAUUCUUGGUGUAGCGGUGAAAUGCGUAGAUAUCAAGAGGAACACCUGAGGUGAAGACGGGUUGCUGGGCUGACACUGACGCUGAGGCGCGAAAGCCAGGGGAGCAAACGGGAUUAGAUACCCAGGUAGUCCCUGAGCGGGCUGGCAAGGCGCAU